GUCUUUUUGUUUUUAAUUUAAAGUCAGGCCUGCCCAAUGAUUUAUUUUAAUGGCCGCAGUAUCCUAACUGUGCAAAGGUAGCAUAAUCAUUUGUUAUUUAAUUGAUAACUGGAAUGAAUGGUUUUAUAAAAAAUAUUCUUUUUUUAUUUUUAAUUUAAAAUUUUAUUUUAAAGUCAAAAAGCUUUAAUUUAUUUAUUAGACGAUAAGACCCUUUAGAACUUUAAUAUUACUUUAAAUUAUAUUUUUAGUUUUAUAAAUAUAAAUUAUUUAUAUAUUUUUGUUGGGGUGACAGUUAAUUUUUAAAAACUUUAAUUUAUAUUUAUUCAUAUAUUUAUGAUUUUUUUGAUCCAAUUUUUUUGAUUAUAAGAUUAAGUUACCUUAGGGAUAACAGCGUAAUUUUGUUGGAGAGUUCUUAUUAAUAACAAAGUUUGCGACCUCGAUGUUGGAUUAAAAUAAUAUUUUGGUGUAGAAGCUAAUUUUAUUAGUCUGUUCGACUAUUAAUUUUUUACA
This 510-nucleotide ribosomal RNA is filed under the name Orius sp. WCW-2003e. RNAcentral's name for it is "partial 16S ribosomal RNA". The stretch from base 384 to 510 matches the Rfam family "Bacterial large subunit ribosomal RNA", at positions 2473 to 2600 of the family's 2925-position model. Lineage: Eukaryota; Metazoa; Arthropoda; Insecta; Hemiptera; Anthocoridae. The record is from RNAcentral.